GAACCUGCGGAAGGAUCAUUACCGAGUGCGGGUCUUUAUGGCCCAACCUCCCACCCGUGACUAUUGUACCUUGUUGCUUCGGCGGGCCCGCCAGCGUUGCUGGCCGCCGGGGGGCGACUCGCCCCCGGGCCCGUGCCCGCCGGAGACCCCAACAUGAACCCUGUUCUGAAAGCUUGCAGUCUGAGUGUGAUUCUUUGCAAUCAGUUAAAACUUUCAACAAUGGAUCUCUUGGUUCCGGCAUCGAUGAAGAACGCAGCGAAAUGCGAUAACUAAUGUGAAUUGCAGAAUUCAGUGAAUCAUCGAGUCUUUGAACGCACAUUGCGCCCCCUGGUAUUCCGGGGGGCAUGCCUGUCCGAGCGUCAUUGCUGCCCUCAAGCCCGGCUUGUGUGUUGGGCCCUCGUCCCCCGGCUCCCGGGGGACGGGCCCGAAAGGCAGCGGCGGCACCGCGUCCGGUCCUCGAGCGUAUGGGGCUUCGUCUUCCGCUCCGUAGGCCCGGCCGGCGCCCGCCGACGCAUUUGUUUGCAACUUGUUUUUUUCCAGG
Molecule: ribosomal RNA, 541 nt
Filed under: Aspergillus terreus
Lineage: Eukaryota; Fungi; Ascomycota; Eurotiomycetes; Eurotiales; Aspergillaceae
Description: partial 18S ribosomal RNA
Rfam family: 5.8S ribosomal RNA (bases 209-362)
Source: RNAcentral